AGAGGGAUAGCUGGGUCAAAUGAUGGUUCCAUUCCCAGAUUUCCAAGGAAUCUCCACACUGCUUUCUAUAUUGGCUGUUCCAAUUUGCAAUCCCACCAGCAAU
This 103-nucleotide microRNA precursor is filed under the name Marmota monax (woodchuck). The record is from RNAcentral. Lineage: Eukaryota; Metazoa; Chordata; Mammalia; Rodentia; Sciuridae.